Molecule: ribosomal RNA, 478 nt
Filed under: Leucothoe urospinosa
Lineage: Eukaryota; Metazoa; Arthropoda; Malacostraca; Amphipoda; Leucothoidae
Description: partial 18S ribosomal RNA
Rfam family: Eukaryotic small subunit ribosomal RNA
Source: RNAcentral
AAAACCGACAGAGAGAAGGACAACGCGAAGGAGCAAUCCGACGCUGCUUCUCUUUUCGAGCGCACAAGUCCGCCGUGGCUGCGCGUGGGUUCGAGUGCGCGCUCGAGAGCCUAUGUGUCGUCGAGGACGGAGAGAGAUAUAUACGCCUUCACGGGUCAUGUGUGUCUCUCUUAAGCAACCCUCGGCUUCGCCUCUAGGCGCGAGUGCUCGCGCGAGAGUCCUUGCGCGUAGACAAACGUUGUUUCUUCUUAGAGGUAUUGACGACUCUACGUAAGUCGUACGAGACAGAGAGCAAUAACAGGUCUGUGAUGCCCUUAGAUGCCCUGGGCCGCACGCGAGCUACAAUGCCGGGUACAGCGGGUGUACCGUCCUUCUCCGAGAGGAGCGGGUAACCCUCUGAAAGCCCUUCUGAUGUACGGGGCGCGUGCGCUCGCGGCCUAGUCCGCGCUUGUGCGUGUGUCGGAACAUCGCGGCUCGA